GACGAACGCUGGCGGCGUGCUUAACACAUGCAAGUCGAACGGAAAGGCCCUGCUUUUGUGGGGUGCUCGAGUGGCGAACGGGUGAGUAACAAGUGAGUAACCUGCCCUUGACUUUGGGAUAACUUCAGGAAACUGGGGCUAAUACCGGAUAGGAGCUCCUGCUGCAUGGUGGGGGUUGGAAAGUUUCGGCGGUUGGGGAUGGACUCGCGGCUUAUCAGCUUGUUGGUGGGGUAGUGGCUUACCAAGGCUUUGACGGGUAGCCGGCCUGAGAGGGUGACCGGCCACAUUGGGACUGAGAGACGGCCCAGACUCCUACGGGAGGCAGCAGUGGGGAAUAUUGCACAAUGGGCGGAAGCCUGAUGCAGCAACGCCGCGUGCGGGAUGACGGCCUUCGGGUUGUAAACCGCUUUCGCCUGUGACGAAGCGUGAGUGACGGUAAUGGGUAAAGAAGCACCGGCUAACUACGUG
RNAcentral lists this ribosomal RNA (468 nucleotides) under uncultured bacterium. RNAcentral describes it as "partial 16S ribosomal RNA". It matches the Rfam family "Bacterial small subunit ribosomal RNA", at positions 28 to 507 of the family's 1533-position model. The record is from RNAcentral.